Long non-coding RNA from Ornithodoros turicata, 334 nucleotides. RefSeq lists it as uncharacterized. Lineage: Eukaryota; Metazoa; Arthropoda; Arachnida; Ixodida; Argasidae. The transcript is spliced from 3 exons. The record is from RefSeq and is a predicted model, not a curated record.
CUUAAAACAGGCAGCAGGAAAAGCUCGCUGUGGAAAUGCGUCAUCCCACGCUAUUGGUCCUGCUUCUACUCCUUCUUCUUCGCACACAAGCAAUGGUAGCGAUUCACGAAGGCAGGCUGGUCGUGCCAUCAACAAGAACAAUGACCGAUGACGAUGCUCCUACUUCUUGCCGUGUUGAAGCAAGCAUUCCUUCGAAUAUACGGCACAGGCUUCCAUCCUGACUGACAAGAAAGUGGAAAUCGGAAGUAAAAGCAUGCAAAUGAAUGAUUUACCAUCAACACCUCUCAACCUUUCUCCAGUGGUGAUUUCAACGCCUAUUGUCCAUACACCCUUA